GUCACAGCCUGGUGAGGAGGGGGCUGAAGUUCCUCAGGAAACUCCAGUGGACAAAUUCAUAAACAAGAGCUCCAGUUCCCUGGAACCUGAAUCGGGAGGCCUGCAGCUCACUUUCUCCCUGUUUGCUGGCCAGCAGGGUUUGUGACCGCCUCUGCUGUGACGCCACAGCCUGGUGAGGAGGGGGCUGCAGUUCCUCAGGAAACUCCAGUGGACAAAGUCAUAAACAAGAGUUCCAGUUCCCUGGAACCUGAGUCGGGAGGCCUGCAACUCACUUUCUCCCUGUUUGCUGGCCCAGACAGGCCUGUGCUAGAGGGCUGGAUAGUGUGGUAGUGUGGUGGAUAGAGUGCUGCCUCUAUCCACAACGCAGCCAUAUGCUGACUGAAAGAUAACUUUGUGUCUGGAAGAGCCCUCUGAUUUCUUACACUAAUGGCCUUACACGAGAUGGAGGAUUUUACAUUUGAUGGAACAAAGCGCUUAAGUGUCAACUACGUGAAGGGAAUUCUUCAACCCACAGACACCUGUGACAUCUGGGAUAAGAUCUGGAACUUCCAAGCCAAGCCUGAUGACCUGCUUAUUUCUACCUAUCCUAAAGCAGGAACAACAUGGACUCAGGAGAUAGUGGAAUUAAUACAAAAUGAAGGUGAUGUGGAGAAAAGUAAACGGGCACCGACUCAUCAACGAUUUCCUUUCCUCGAAAUGAAAAUCCCAUCCUUAGGAUCUGGUGAGUACAAAUAGCCACACUUCACUACAGUCCUAAAACGCACUUAGGAUUUUUACUGUCUUUGCACCUUUUGAAAUUAUAGGCUUUCAAACAAUUAUUGGUGAGUUUCAUGGUUUUGUCUUUUUUUAACUGUGUCUGGCCAUUGUUAUACUCCAGACAUUUUCUAAUGGAAUUGCUGUUUAUACAAAAGUGAGUUAAAUUUUGUUUCUCUAGUUAGAAAUUAAUUUUACUUCAAAAGAAUAAGCUCAAGUAAGAUAAUCCUGGUGAAAGGGUUUGAAUUUUUUAGGUUCUUAUUUAUUUGGAUGACUGUUAUGGUUAGGAAUUGUUCUAGUCAAAACAUCUAUUCAUAGGCUAGACGUAUUCUCUCACACCAGAUCUACAGAUACAAUGCUCUUAUAGAUGCUUUGAAUUGUAGUAGUAAUAAUGGAAGCAGCAAGACUUGGAAGCAAAUAGAGAAAAAAAUCGUAGAAAUUGAUCGAAAACCAAUUUUGCAGGUUUGGAACAAGCUCAUGCAAUGCCCUCACCACGGAUCCUGAAAACACAUCUUCCCUUUCACUUGCUGCCACCAUCCUUGCUAGAGAAAAACUGUAAGGUAAAAAGCAAAAGGAAUUCAGAGUUGUACUCCUUAAAACAACCUUAGUCUUCCAUUUCCUCUUAAAACACUUCACUUGUUAAAUAUAUAUAUAUAUAUAUAUACCUCUUCACAAUAAUCAAUAUGCAAAUUAAUAUGAAUCCUAGCCAGGCACGUUGGCUCAUGCCUGUAAUCACAGCAUUUUGGGAGACUGAGAUGGGUGGAUCAGUUGAGGUCAGGGGUUCAAGACCAGCCUGAUCAACACAGCGAAACCCCAUCUCUACCAAAAACACAAAAUUCACAGGACGUGGUGACACACGCCUGUAAUCCAAGCUACUCAGGAGGCUGAGGCAGGAGACUCGCUUGAACACAGGAGGCAGAGGUUGCAGUGAGCCAAGAUCGCACCAUUGCACUCCAUCCUGGGUGACAGAGAAAGACUCCAUCUCAAAAAAAACAAA
RNAcentral lists this small RNA (1750 nucleotides) under Pan troglodytes (chimpanzee). RNAcentral describes it as "retained intron". Lineage: Eukaryota; Metazoa; Chordata; Mammalia; Primates; Hominidae. The record is from RNAcentral.